UUCCUAGUACGAGAGGACCGGAAUGGACGAACCUCUGGUGUUCCAGUUGUCACGCCAGUGGCAACGCUGGGUAGCUAUGUUCGGACGGGAUAACCGCUGAAAGCAUCUAAGCGGGAAGCCCACCCCAAGAUGAGAUCUCCCUUUCGCAGGGCAACCUGCGAAACUGAAGGCCCCUCGAAGACCACGAGGUUGAUAGGCCGGGGGUGUACGCACAGCAAUGUGUUCAGCUUACCGGUACUAAUCGGCCGUGAGGCUUGGCCACAAAACA
This 268-nucleotide ribosomal RNA is filed under the name Deltaproteobacteria bacterium. RNAcentral describes it as "partial 23S ribosomal RNA". It matches the Rfam family "Bacterial large subunit ribosomal RNA", at positions 2675 to 2925 of the family's 2925-position model. Lineage: Bacteria; Pseudomonadati; Myxococcota; Myxococcia. The record is from RNAcentral.